GGAGCGGUAGUUCAGUUGGUUAGAAUACCGGCCUGUCACGCCGGUGGUCGCGGGUUCGAGCCCCGUCCGCUUCG
This 74-nucleotide transfer RNA is filed under the name Methylocucumis oryzae. RNAcentral describes it as "Methylococcaceae bacterium Sn10-6 tRNA". It matches the Rfam family "tRNA". Rfam says of the family: Transfer RNA (tRNA) molecules are approximately 80 nucleotides in length. Their secondary structure includes four short double-helical elements and three loops (D, anti-codon, and T loops). Further hydrogen bonds mediate the characteristic L-shaped molecular structure. tRNAs have two regions of fundamental functional importance: the anti-codon, which is responsible for specific mRNA codon recognition, and the 3' end, to which the tRNAs corresponding amino acid is attached (by aminoacyl-tRNA synthetases). tRNAs cope with the degeneracy of the genetic code in two manners: having more than one tRNA (with a specific anti-codon) for a particular amino acid; and 'wobble' base-pairing, i.e. permitting non-standard base-pairing at the 3rd anti-codon position. Lineage: Bacteria; Pseudomonadati; Pseudomonadota; Gammaproteobacteria; Methylococcales; Methylococcaceae. The record is from Rfam by way of RNAcentral.